GAUGAACGCUGGCGGCGUGCUUAACACAUGCAAGUCGAACGGAAAGGCUCCUGCUUGCCGGGGUACUCGAGUGGCGAACGGGUGAGUAACACGUGGGUGAUCUGCCCUGCACUUCGGGAUAAGCCUUGGAAACUGGGUCUAAUACCGGAUAGGACGAUGGUUUGGAUGCCAUUGUGGAAAGUUUUUCGGUGUUGGAUGAGCUCGCGGCCUAUCAGCUUGUUGGUGGGGUAAUGGCCUACCAAGGCGUCGACGGGUAGCCGGCCUGAGAGGGUGUACGGCCACAAUGGGACUGAGAUACGGCCCAGACGCGUACGGGAGGCAGCAGGGGAGAACAUUGCAGAAUGGGCGCAAGCCUGAUGCAGAGGCGCCGCGUGGGGGAAGACGGCCUUCGGGUUGUAAACUCAUUUCGCUAGGGACGAAGCGCAAGUGACGGUACCUGGAGAAGAAGCACCGGCUAACUACGUG
RNAcentral lists this ribosomal RNA (465 nucleotides) under uncultured bacterium. Its description in RNAcentral is "partial 16S ribosomal RNA". It matches the Rfam family "Bacterial small subunit ribosomal RNA", at positions 28 to 507 of the family's 1533-position model. The record is from RNAcentral.